UACGAAGGGGGCUAGCGUUGUUCGGAAUUACUGGGCGUAAAGCGCGCGCAGGCGGUCUUCCAAGUCAGUGGUGAAAGCCCGGAGCUCAACUCCGGAACUGCCAUUGAAACUGUUAGACUUGAGGAUGAGAGAGGUGAGUGGAAUUCCCAGUGUAGAGGUGAAAUUCGUAGAUAUUGGGAAGAACACCGGUGGCGAAGGCGGCUCACUGGCUCAUUACUGACGCUCGAGGCGCGAUAGCGUGGGGAUCAAACAGG
RNAcentral lists this ribosomal RNA (254 nucleotides) under uncultured bacterium. Its description in RNAcentral is "partial 16S ribosomal RNA". It matches the Rfam family "Bacterial small subunit ribosomal RNA", at positions 524 to 776 of the family's 1533-position model. The record is from RNAcentral.